UUCUACACGUUUAUAAGGAAUGUUUUGAACUCUCGAACCGAUAUGGGAUCUCACAUACUUCAUCAUAAUCCCAUCAUAUUUAGGAUCAAAAUGAAAACAAGCUGCAAUGAUAGGAAUGAAGAAUCUGAUUGAAGAGUAAUUCAAAGGUUGUGAGAGUCUUUGAGCAAAGCUAUUUAAUUCUCUUGAUCUCUUUUUGGAUACAGAGUCAUGGAACUAUUCAAAAAGAGGCCAUUCCUACUGUGAUUACUUGCAAAGGUAUGACAUAGGCUUGUCUUGUUA
This is a non-coding RNA of Cucurbita pepo subsp. pepo (vegetable marrow), 279 nucleotides long. Lineage: Eukaryota; Viridiplantae; Streptophyta; Magnoliopsida; Cucurbitales; Cucurbitaceae. The record is from RefSeq and is a predicted model, not a curated record.